This is a long non-coding RNA of Hypomesus transpacificus, 632 nucleotides long. RefSeq lists it as uncharacterized. The transcript is spliced from 3 exons. NCBI's taxonomy places the organism in Eukaryota, Metazoa, Chordata, Actinopteri, Osmeriformes, Osmeridae. The record is from RefSeq and is a predicted model, not a curated record.
UGGAAGUCGCUUUGGAUAAAAGCGUCUGCUAAAUGAAUACAUGUAAAUGUAAAUUUAUCAUUAGAUAUCAAUAAUUCCUCCAUCAAAGAGCAGGAUCAAACUGAAGCCCAGUCCUUGGAGGUCAAGAAACUGUUUGAGGUGUACAAUAAAAUGAUGUUCCUGUUGUCGAAGCAGUUCACCCAAUGGGACGAGAGCCUGAGGAAAGUGGAGGAGGCCAAAGGCAUCCGGCAAGUGGAGUAAUGACCAUGAUGGUUAAGAAGAUGAAGGGGAUAGCAUGACGCUGUCAUUUAGGUGUCCUACAUCUGGCUUGUUUGGUAAAAGGUGAUACCUAGCCUCAGAUCUGAGAUCAGAAUACUCUGCACCUUAUCCUAAGAUUCACCUUUUGAGGUAUGAGUGGCUAAAUUGAUUUGACAUCUGUGGUGAGGGUCAUCAUGCUCUUGUUCAUUGUGGUUUGUUUUACCCUAUGAGACAUCAUAUUUAUUCACUGUUAAAUGCACUUGGAUAGUUUGUCUUUGCUUUGAGAUGAGGAUUAGACUAAUAACCAAUCACACUAGCCUUCCCUCAAAGUUCUGGUUUAAAAUGUGUUUUAUAAAUGCAUGUCUGCAAAAUGUAAAAUCACUGCAAUAAAGAAA